This 468-nucleotide ribosomal RNA is filed under the name uncultured bacterium. RNAcentral describes it as "partial 16S ribosomal RNA". It matches the Rfam family "Bacterial small subunit ribosomal RNA", at positions 28 to 507 of the family's 1533-position model. The record is from RNAcentral.
GACGAACGCUGGCGGCGUGCUUAACACAUGCAAGUCGAACGGAAAGGCGCUGCUUCUGUGGCUUGCUCGAUUGGCGAACGGGUGAGUAACACGUGAGUAUCCUGCCCUUGACUGUGGGAUAACUUCAGGAAACUGGGGCUCAUACCCCAUAGAAGCUCCUGAUGCGUGGGGGGGGUUGGAAAGUUACGGCGUUGGGGGAUGGACUCGCUGCUUAUGAGCUUGUUGGUGAGGUAGUGGCUUACCAAGGCUUUGACGGAUAGCCGGCCUGAGAGGGGGACCGGGCACAUUGGGACUGAGGUACGCACCAGACUGCUACGGGAGGCAGCAGUGGGAAAUCUUGCACAAUGGGCGGAAGCCUGAUGUAGCAACGCCGCGUGCGGGAUGACGGGCUUCUGGUUGUAAACAGAUUUCGCCUGUGACGAAGAGUGAGUGACGGUAAUGGGUAAAGAAGCAACGGCUAACUACGUG